UACGCAGGGUGCGAGCGUUGUCCGGAAUUAUUGGGCGUAAAGGGCUCGUAGGCGGUCUGUUGCGUCGGGAGUGAAAACUUACAGCUUAACUGUGAGCGUGCUUUCGAUACGGGCAGACUUGAGGUAUUCAGGGGAGAACGGAAUUCCUGGUGUAGCGGUGAAAUGCGUAGAUAUCUGGAGGAACACCGGUGGCGAAGGCGGCAUCCUGGACCGGCAUUGACGCUGAGGCGCGAAAGCCAGGGGAGCAAACGGG
RNAcentral lists this ribosomal RNA (253 nucleotides) under uncultured bacterium. Its description in RNAcentral is "partial 16S ribosomal RNA". It matches the Rfam family "Bacterial small subunit ribosomal RNA", at positions 524 to 776 of the family's 1533-position model. The record is from RNAcentral.